UGCCGAUGGACCUGUGAGUAAAUACUAUC
RNAcentral lists this non-coding RNA (29 nucleotides) under Homo sapiens (human). Lineage: Eukaryota; Metazoa; Chordata; Mammalia; Primates; Hominidae. The record is from RNAcentral.